AUUGAACGCUGGCGGCAUGCCUAACACAUGCAAGUCGAACGAGUGGCGGACGGGUGAGUAAUGUCUGGGAAACUGCCUGAUGGAGUGGUAUAACUACUGGAAACGGUAGCUAAUACCGCAUACCAUUAGAUUUUCCCAUACUGGAUUAGCUAGUUGGUGGGGUAACGGCUCACCAAGGCGACGAUCCCUAGCUGGUUUGAGAGGAUGACCAGGCGCACCGGAACUGGGGCACGGGCCAAACUCCUAGGUGAGGAAGCGAUGGGGAAUAUUGCACGAUGGGGGCAAGCCUGAUGCAGCGAAGCCGGGUGGAUGAAGAAGGGAUUCGGGUUGUAAAGUACUUUCCGCGGGGAGGGGUUACCCGGAGAAGAAGCACCGGCUAACUCCGUGCCAGCAGCCGCGGUAAUUC
RNAcentral lists this ribosomal RNA (406 nucleotides) under uncultured bacterium. Its description in RNAcentral is "partial 16S ribosomal RNA". It matches the Rfam family "Bacterial small subunit ribosomal RNA", at positions 30 to 526 of the family's 1533-position model. The record is from RNAcentral.